Molecule: long non-coding RNA, 365 nt
Organism: Dendrobium catenatum
Lineage: Eukaryota; Viridiplantae; Streptophyta; Magnoliopsida; Asparagales; Orchidaceae
Exons: 3
Source: RefSeq, a predicted model, not a curated record
CAGCAGUUGUUCUUUCCUGCUUAUCAGUUUCUACACUCUUUACGGACUAAGCACAAUUGCCAUGCGAUAAUAAAACCGCAACCAAGUACAGUAGAUUGUACCUCUAGCUAGAUUGAUAUCAGAAUUGUUGACAUAAUUCGCGUAUCUUAUCGGCUGCUGCUCUUGGACCCCAAAGUUUUUUCUGAACUAUGGGAUUGGUCUGGUUUUUAUGAUCUGGUGCAGCAUGUUAACUGUCCCCAGAUAGAAACUGCAAAUCCAGUAUUUAAUGAUUUAUUGGACAUUAGGUGGUGUGUGAUACAGAUGUUGUCGGUUGUUAUGCGAACAAGUGAUAGAAUUAUUGCUAAUCUUGGCAUGGGGGCAGAGGA